UAACCUGCCCAAGAGAUCGGGAUAACACCUGGAAACAGAUGCUAAUACCGGAUAACAACAGAUGAUGCCUAUCAACUGUUUAAAAGAUGGUUCUGCUAUCACUCUUGGAUGGACCUGCGGUGCAUUAGCUAGUUGGUAGGGUAACGGCCUACCAAGGCGAUGAUACAUAGCCGAGUUGAGAGACUGAUCGGCCACAUUGGGACUGAGACACGGCCCAAACUCCUACGGGAGGCAGCAGCU
Molecule: ribosomal RNA, 240 nt
Filed under: uncultured Lactobacillus sp.
Lineage: Bacteria; Bacillati; Bacillota; Bacilli; Lactobacillales; Lactobacillaceae
Description: partial 16S ribosomal RNA
Rfam family: Bacterial small subunit ribosomal RNA
Source: RNAcentral